Molecule: transfer RNA, 73 nt
Filed under: Marmota monax (woodchuck)
Lineage: Eukaryota; Metazoa; Chordata; Mammalia; Rodentia; Sciuridae
Description: tRNA.Val
Source: RNAcentral
UGGGAUAUAGCUCAGUUGAUAAAGAGUGUUGGCUUCACAUGCACAAGGCCCUGGGUUCAAUCCCCAGCACCAA